Long non-coding RNA from Microplitis mediator, 692 nucleotides. RefSeq lists it as uncharacterized. Lineage: Eukaryota; Metazoa; Arthropoda; Insecta; Hymenoptera; Braconidae. The transcript is spliced from 3 exons. The record is from RefSeq and is a predicted model, not a curated record.
UCCACCAAAUAAGAUUUGUUAAUAGUUAAAAAAUAUUUUGUUGGUGGUCGGUGUUGAUAGAUGGCUAUACUUAACGCGUAGUUGUAAAAAAAUAUAUAUGCAUAUACAUAACAGAAUACUCGUGUGUGCGUGCGCGUCAUGGUAGAUACGACAUACGACUCCGCGCCUUUUUUUUAUUGCGCGUCAUAACCCGCUGAAUAACUAGCUCUAUUUGCGAUUUUCAUACGAUAAGUUGCUUUUUAUUUUACACUUUGUGGAAAACAAUUAAUAAAAUGGAAGCUUUGCUACAAUCGUGGGAUUUAAGUGAGUUAUACUCGAUUUUUUUGUGUAAACCAUACAACUGACUUUGAAAUCCUUGGUGAAUUCCUUACUAAAACUCGAGAAGAGACCCAAAAAGAAAUAAUCCCUAGUGUUGGUUUACGACUUCGUUUAAAUAAAAAAUAUAAUGAAUAUAUUUCCCAUUACGAGAAGAUUAAUGUAAAGGAUGAAUUACCACCAAAUACUUGCUUGCAAUAAAAAAAAAAAUUAAUUGUAAACUUUUUUAACACUAAAACUUUUCUAAAAAUAAUAAGAGGAAUUUUUUAAAUAUUCAUAAUCCAGUGUGUAAAUACUAAUAAAUGAUUUAUUAAAUAUUAAUAAAUCAUUUUCUAUAUGUUAAUAAAUCAUUUGUUAAAUAGUAAUAAAUAUUUGGU